Molecule: ribosomal RNA, 258 nt
Filed under: uncultured bacterium
Lineage: Bacteria
Description: partial 16S ribosomal RNA
Rfam family: Bacterial small subunit ribosomal RNA
Source: RNAcentral
UGGCGGACGGGUGAGUAACGCGUGGGCAACCUGCCUUACACAGGGGGAUAACACUUAGAAAUAGGUGCUAAAACCGCAUAAGCGCACAGCUUCGCAUGAAGCGGUGUGAAAAACUCCGGUGGUGUAAGAUGGACCCGCGUCUGAUUAGCUUGUUGGCGGGGUAACGGCCCACCAAGGCGACGAUCAGUAGCCGGCCUGAGAGGGCGGACGGCCACAUUGGGACUGAGACACGGCCCAGACUCCUACGGGAGGCAGCAG